CCUACGGGAGGCUGCAGUGAGGAAUAUUGGUCAAUGGGCGCGAGCCUGAACCAGCCAAGUAGCGUGAAGGAUGACCGCCCUACGGGUUGUAAACUUCUUUUAUAAAGGAAUAAAGUGAGGCACGUGUGCCUUUUUGUAUGUACUUUAUGAAUAAGGAUCGGCUAACUCCGUGCCAGCAGCCGCGGUAAUACGGAGGAUCCGAGCGUUAUCCGGAUUUAUUUGGUUUAAAGGGAGCGUAGAUGGGUUUUUAAGUCAGUUGUGAAAGUUGUCGGCUAAACGGUAAAAUUGCAAUUGAUACUGGCAGUCUUGAGUACAGUUGAGGUAGGCGGAAUUCGGGGUGUAGCGGUGAAAUGCUUAGAUAUCACGAAGAACUCCGAUUGCGAAGGCAGCUUACUAAACUGCCACUGACAUUGAUGCUCGAAAGUGUGGGUAUCAAACAGGAUUAGAUACCCGAGUAGUC
Molecule: ribosomal RNA, 460 nt
Filed under: uncultured bacterium
Lineage: Bacteria
Description: partial 16S ribosomal RNA
Rfam family: Bacterial small subunit ribosomal RNA
Source: RNAcentral